RNAcentral lists this ribosomal RNA (201 nucleotides) under uncultured bacterium. Its description in RNAcentral is "partial 16S ribosomal RNA". It matches the Rfam family "Bacterial small subunit ribosomal RNA", at positions 524 to 723 of the family's 1533-position model. The record is from RNAcentral.
UACGGAGGGUGCGAGCGUUGUCCGGAAUCAUUGGGCGUAAAGGGCGCGUAGGUGGCCCGGUCAGUCUUUGGUGAAAGCGCGGGGCUCAACCCUGCGUCGGCCAGGGAUACUGCCGCGGCUCGAGCACUGUAGAGGCAGGCGGAAUUCCGGGUGUAGCGGUGGAAUGCGUAGAGAUACGGAAGAACACCGGUGGCGAAGGCG